RNAcentral lists this transfer RNA (68 nucleotides) under Stylodipus telum (thick-tailed three-toed jerboa). Its description in RNAcentral is "tRNA-His". It matches the Rfam family "tRNA". Rfam says of the family: Transfer RNA (tRNA) molecules are approximately 80 nucleotides in length. Their secondary structure includes four short double-helical elements and three loops (D, anti-codon, and T loops). The record is from RNAcentral. Lineage: Eukaryota; Metazoa; Chordata; Mammalia; Rodentia; Dipodidae.
GUAGAUAUAGUUUAUUAAAACACUAGACUGUGAAUCUAAAAAUAGAAGAUAAUUUCUUCUUAUCUACC